This 618-nucleotide ribosomal RNA is filed under the name uncultured bacterium. Its description in RNAcentral is "bacterial SSU rRNA". It matches the Rfam family "Bacterial small subunit ribosomal RNA", at positions 56 to 720 of the family's 1533-position model. The record is from RNAcentral.
UGCGAGUCGAACGAGAUCUUCGGAUCUAGUGGCGCACGGGUGCGUAACGCGUGGGGAUCUACCAUAGGGUGCGGAAUAACUCAGAGAAAUUUGAGCUAAUACCGCAUAAUGUCUUCGGACCAAAGAUUUAUCGCCCUUUGAUGAGCCCGCGUAAGAUUAGCUUGUUGGUGAGGUAAAGGCUCACCAAGGCGACGAUCUUUAGCUGGUCUGAGAGGAUGAUCAGCCACACUGGGACUGAGACACGGCCCAGACUCCUACGGGAGGCAGCAGUGGGGAAUAUUGGACAAUGGGCGAAAGCCUGAUCCAGCAAUGCCGCGUGAGUGAUGAAGGCCUUAGGGUUGUAAAGCUCUUUUACCAGGGAUGAUAAUGACAGUACCUGGAGAAUAAGCUCCGGCUAACUCCGUGCCAGCAGCCGCGGUAAUACGGAGGGAGCUAGCGUUGUUCGGAAUUACUGGGCGUAAAGCGCGCGUAGCCGGUUACUCAAGUCAGAGGUGAAAGCCCGGAGCUCAACUCCGGAACUGCCUUUGAAACUAGGUGACUAGAAUCUUGGAGAGGCGAGUGGAAUUCCGAGUGUAAAGGUGAAAUUCGUAGAUAUUCCGAAGAACACCAGUGGCGAAG